UUGACUACAGGAACAAAACGCUAUCACCGAAAAACUAGAGCAAAAAUCGAAAACUCGAUUCAGAACUCAAGUCGUCCCUCUUUUACUUUCUUUUUCUCUUUCUUAUUACUUUCUUUUUCUCUUUCUUAUAACUUCUACUGCAUUUUCUCUCUGUCUCUCUUUUGUAACUAUUUUUUUUAUCUUCUCUUUCUUUUUGUUCUGUUUGUGUUUUUCUCUCACUUUCGGUGACAGUAU
This 234-nucleotide long non-coding RNA is filed under the name Capsicum annuum. RNAcentral describes it as "long non-coding RNA (CANN_LNC016335)". The record is from RNAcentral. Lineage: Eukaryota; Viridiplantae; Streptophyta; Magnoliopsida; Solanales; Solanaceae.